This 889-nucleotide ribosomal RNA is filed under the name Macrolepiota sp. RNAcentral describes it as "partial large subunit ribosomal RNA". It matches the Rfam family "Eukaryotic large subunit ribosomal RNA", at positions 110 to 987 of the family's 3401-position model. The record is from RNAcentral. Lineage: Eukaryota; Fungi; Basidiomycota; Agaricomycetes; Agaricales; Agaricaceae.
UUUUCUUCUUACGCGCGGGAACUGCAAUCAUAGCGAGAAAGAACUACAGAGAAGUGCUACCCGCGCUGGACCGUGUACAAGUCUCCUGGAAUGGAGCGUCAUAGAGGGUGAGAAUCCCGUCUCUGACACGGACUACCAGGGCUUUGUGGUACGCUCUCAAAGAGUCGAGUUGUUUGGGAAUGCAGCUCAAAAUGGGUGGUAAAUUCCAUCUAAAGCUAAAUAUUGGCGAGAGACCGAUAGCGAACAAGUACCGUGAGGGAAAGAUGAAAAGAACUUUGGAAAGAGAGUUAAACAGUACGUGAAAUUGCUGAAAGGGAAACGCUUGAAGUCAGUCGCGUUGGCCGGGGAUCAGCCUCGCUUUUGCGUGGUGUACUUUCUGGUUGACGGGUCAGCAUCAAUUUUGACCGCUGGAAAAAGGCUUGGGGAAUGUGGCAGCUUCGGCUGUGUUAUAGCCCUUUGUCACAUACAGCGGUUGGGAUUGAGGAACUCAGCACGCCGCAAGGCCGGGUUUCGACCACGUUCGUGCUUAGGAUGCUGGCAUAAUGGCUUUAAGCGACCCGUCUUGAAACACGGACCAAGGAGUCUAACAUGCCUGCGAGUGUUUGGGUGGAAAACCCGAGCGCGUAAUGAAAGUGAAAGUUGAGAUCCCUGUCGUGGGGAGCAUCGACGCCCGGACCAGAACUUUUGGGACGGAUCCGCGGUAGAGCAUGUAUGUUGGGACCCGAAAGAUGGUGAACUAUGCCUGAAUAGGGUGAAGCCAGAGGAAACUCUGGUGGAGGCUCGUAGCGAUUCUGACGUGCAAAUCGAUCGUCAAAUUUGGGUAUAGGGGCGAAAGACUAUCGACCAUCUAGUAGCUGGUCUGCGAGCUCUCCUCCCAGAGUGUAUAUAA